UAUAGAUGGAUCCGCGCUGCAUUAGCUAGUUGGUAAGGUAACGGCUUACCAAGGCAACGAUGCAUAGCCGACCUGAGAGGGUGAUCGGCCACACUGGAACUGAGACACGGUCCAGACUCCUACGGGAGGCAGCAGUAGGGAAUCUUCCGCAAUGGGCGAAAGCCUGACGGAGCAACGCCGCGUGAGUGAUGAAGGUCUUCGGAUCGUAAAACUCUGUUAUUAGGGAAGAACAUAUGUGUAAGUAACUGUGCACAUCUUGACGGUACCUAAUCAGAAAGCCACGGCUAACUACGUGCCAGCAGCCGCGGUAAUACGUAGGUGGCAAGCGUUAUCCGGAAUUAUUGGGCGUAAAGCGCGCGUAGGCGGUUUUUUAAGUCUGAUGUGAAAGCCCACGGCUCAACCGUGGAGGGUCAUUGGAAACUGGAAAACUUGAGUGCAGAAGAGGAAAGUGGAAUUCCAUGUGUAGCGGUGAAAUGCGCAGAGAUAUGGAGGAACACCAGUGGCGAAGGCGACUUUCUGGUCUGUAACUGACGCUGAUGUGCGAAAGCGUGGGGAUCAAACAGGAUUAGAUACCCUGGUAGUCCACGCCGUAAACGAUGAGUGCUAAGUGUUAGGGGGUUUCCGCCCCUUAGUGCUGCAGCUAACGCAUUAAGCACUCCGCCUGGGGAGUACGACCGCAAGGUUGAAACUCAAAGGAAUUGACGGGGACCCGCACAAGCGGUGGAGCAUGUGGUUUAAUUCGAAGCAACGCGAAGAACCUUACCAAAUCUUGACAUCCUUUGACAACUCUAGAGAUAGAGCCUUCCCCUUCGGGGGACAAAGUGACAGGUGGUGCAUGGUUGUCGUCAGCUCGUGUCGUGAGAUGUUGGGUUAAGUCCCGCAACGAGCGCAACCCUUAAGCUUAGUUGCCAUCAUUAAGUUGGGCACUCUAAGUUGACUGCCGGUGACAAACCGGAGGAAGGUGGGGAUGACGUCAAAUCAUCAUGCCCCUUAUGAUUUGGGCUACACACGUGCUACAAUGGACAAUACAAAGGGCAGCGAAACCGCGAGGUCAAGCAAAUCCCAUAAAGUUGUUCUCAGUUCGGAUUGUAGUCUGCAACUCGACUACAUGAAGCUGGAAUCGCUAGUAAUCGUAGAUCAGCAUGCUACGGUGAAUACGUUCCCGGGUCUUGUACACACCGCCCGUCACACCACGAGAGUUUGUAACACCCGAAGCCGGUGGAGUAACCUUUUAGGAGCUAGCCGUCGAAGGUGGGACAAAUGAUUGGGGUGAAGUCGUA
This 1280-nucleotide ribosomal RNA is filed under the name Staphylococcus aureus. RNAcentral describes it as "bacterial SSU rRNA". It matches the Rfam family "Bacterial small subunit ribosomal RNA", at positions 220 to 1490 of the family's 1533-position model. The record is from RNAcentral. Lineage: Bacteria; Bacillati; Bacillota; Bacilli; Caryophanales; Staphylococcaceae.